This is a long non-coding RNA of Mastomys coucha (southern multimammate mouse), 529 nucleotides long. RefSeq lists it as uncharacterized. The record is from RefSeq and is a predicted model, not a curated record. The transcript is spliced from 2 exons. NCBI's taxonomy places the organism in Eukaryota, Metazoa, Chordata, Mammalia, Rodentia, Muridae.
CGUGAUGUGCUUAGUGUUCUUAUAAAAAAGAAACAUCAGAUCUCUCCGUCUCUGAGUCUCUGUGUCCAUCUCCCCACUAUGUGCCUCGUGAGGACACAAUAGGAAUACAAAGUCUGCAAUCAAGAGAAAGCCUUACCGGAACCUGACCGUACUAAAUAGCCUGUUGGCCUCGGACCUUCCUGCUUCUAGGACUACGAAAACUUAUCUCUUCUCUUUAAGCCACUCAGCCCACUCCAAGGAUUUCAUUCCAUUUUGCCAGCUCAGCCAGACCAAUUAUUAUUAGGUUGAGCUGCCUGAAUCUUAAAAAGUCCCAAGUGGAGCUGGAGAGACACUUCAAUGGGCAACAGCAUGUACCGCUAUUGCAGAGGAACCAAGGUUAUUUCCCAACACCAACGUAGCAGUUCAUAUUCACCCAUAACAAUCAUCCAUAAAUUAAGUUCAGGGAAUCCCAGAACAUGGCUCACACACAUGCUUACAAGCAAAACCCUCACACACAUAAAAUAAAUACAUAUUUUUAAAACACGCUAAA